UCCUUGGUGAUCCAGUGGUUAAGAAUCUGCCCUGCAGUGCAGGUGACCCAGGUUCGAUCCCUGGUCAGGGAA
Bos taurus (domestic cattle) is the source of this 72-nucleotide non-coding RNA. The record is from Rfam. Lineage: Eukaryota; Metazoa; Chordata; Mammalia; Artiodactyla; Bovidae.